AGACAAGGAGGAAGAGAUGACAAGAGGCAAGAACAGGUAUAGUGCUCAUCUGGUGUGGCAGUCAUGUGAGUGGUGCUCUCUACAUGUAUCUGUUUUGUUUUGUUUUCUAUGAUGGGGAUUGAACUUCAGGCUCACACUUGCUCACCAAGCACCCUGCCACUAUGAUACAUUUAUAGUCCCCUUUUGUGGUUUGGCUUCAAAGAUGGACUCUGGCUAAGUUGUUCAGACCAGCCUUGAAUUCACUCUGUGUGCAUUCAUACAGCCUUCAAAUAUGUGUUCUCUUGCCUCAGCCUCUAGGUAGCUGAAAUUAGAGGCUGUGCCCAGGCCCAGCGACAGGUUUAUUUUGCUCUGCUGUGCCUGCCUUGCUUCUCAUGCUGUUAGAUGACGUCAUCGAGCUGAAGGGGAGGAGUAAGUGCUUCUCAUGCUUUCUCUCUUUGGUAGAAUUAACAGGACCUUAAUUCUUUCCUUCUUUGUGAUUUCUCACAUUAGUUCUUAUUGUAGAUUUUAGCAAUCAUAACGCACAAGUGCUUCCUUUUCCUUAAGCUGACAGUGUUCAUCUUUUCACUGCUCCCUUUCCACGUAUCUGAAUUGCUAGCAUACUGUGUGUGCUUUGGGACCAGUAUGAUGUCAGUAAGUCCCUGUGAGGCUACACCCAAUGAUAUGAGAGCUCAUGUGCCUGUCAAGGUGCAUACUCAGCAUGGAAGUGCUGAUUGAUGGCUGAUGACAGGCAGGGGAAGGACAGUGCAUUGCUUACUGUGAUGGGCAUAUUAAAACAUUGCUUAUUUCUGGAAUUUUUCAUGUAUGCUUUUAGACCACAGUUGGUUCUAAGUAACUGAAGCUGUAAAAGUUAAAAUUGUGAUAAGAGGCACCUGAGAUACAGUUUUUAUCAAUUGCUCAAAGUCUAAUUGGCAAAUUGAUAAUAUACAAAUAUACGUGUGUGUGUGUGUGUGUGUGUGUGUGUGUGUGUGUGUGUGUGUGUAUACAUACAUAUGCAUAUAGCAGUCUUUUUAUUUGCAAGUUAGAUAAACAAGAAACACCUCUGGCAGUUAUUGUGCAGAUUACAUAGGACUGAUAGCAGAUGGUUGAAACAAUAUGGUCAUCUAAACAAGACCUACAUAAUGACAACACUGGAUGACAUACCAGCCUGAAUGGGAAAAAUCUUACAUUGCUUCAACCCCAGAUGAAGAGAUUCAGGAAGUUAUGAAUUCUAGAUACAGGAGGACACUAUUAGAAGGCUGACGUCAGUGAGGUAGAAUUCUAAGAUCUCAAAGCGUGCUUUACAUGCCAUCAUUUUUUAGAGUCAAGCCUGGGGUUGCAAAUGUCCUAGUAUCGUUCACAAAACUGUCAGUGGCUCAGAUGUGGCAGGGAUCCCUGGGUGUUUCCUGCUGGCUUCUUCUCUGUCACAGUCUCCCUCCAACAUCAGCAGGAUUCACUCCUAAGAGUCCUGGGUGUUUGCAGGGUAGGCAUUCUUUCCCAUUCUGUAGUGUUGCUCCUGGACUUUACAGGUCUCAGCAGUGGUCAGAAUCAUGCUUCUCCCCAGCUUCAGAAAGGAGGGUGGGUGCUAGUGGUAAAGCUCUCUGUUCCAUUGUGACUUGUAGAGACUCUUUGUUCAGGUACAGAUUAAAAUGCUUUCCUAUACAACCAGGCAAUCAUCUACUUCAGGAUGGGUCUCCUUCCUUAGCCUAGGAAUUAUCUGCCAUAUCUAAAGCCAUGAUUAGAUUACAGAUGUGGACGUCUGUAUGUCCUUUCUCUAAAAGAAGCAGCCCAGCAUUCCCCCCUGUCUAGGCUCAGGCUAGACCACCUGUGCAGUUGGGGGUUUUCUAUUUGUUUUUGUUUUGUUUCACGUAUUUUUGUAUCUGGAAAAGUCAUGACCAAAAUGUCUAGGACUAUUUAUAUUAUAAACACAGGUAGUAGGUAAGUUGGUAGAUUGAAGGAUGGGGAAAACAUCUUUGGUUUCUAGCCACCUGAAAAUCUAUAUGGCCUCUUCAUAGAAUACUGGUGCAAGUUUGAUAUUGGUUUUGUAUUUGCUUCUGUCAAAAUCAGCAUUAGAGUGAGUGCUAUGAUAAGCCAGAGAACACACUAGGAAGUGAACAGAGAAGCAGCUUCAGAUAGGCUUAUAAAAGACAUGUAAUUGUUUCCAUAGGCUUUGUUUAAGGAACCCAGGCAAGGAGAGCUGAGAUUAUCUUAUCUGGAGAGCAUGAUAAAUAACAGAAAUUUGAGCCAAGCCUGGAGGUGCAAGUCUGUGAUCUCGGCUGUUUAUCUGUCUGGGCAGGAAGGUCACAAGUUCAAGACUUGCCUGAGCUACAGAAUAAGUUCAAGGCUGGCCUGAAUAACUUAGUGAGACACUGUCCCAAAAUAAAAGCAAAAAGAGGGUAGGUGAUGUAGCUCAAGAGUAGAGAGCUUAUCUAGGGUACAUGAAGCCCUAGACUCAGUCUCAAUACCAACAAAAUAAUAACAACAAUAAUACCAAAGACAUGAAGAAAGACAAAACUCAAAAAUAGCAGAAGUUCUUAAUUUUUAUUUGUAUGUUCCUUAUUUGUUGAAUUGCCCGAUUUUAAAUGGCUGACAUCAGAGGAGCAGAAGGUCUGCUGCUGGAUAAUGUCUUCUAGACUCGACAGGGAGGCUAUACCUGUGAUAUCUCAACAAUAUAGUCACCCAAAUAAGACCUACACAAUGACAUUACCAGAUGACAUACCAGCAUGAAUAGAAGUCUUACAUGGCUUCAACCCAAGAUGAAGAGUUAUAGGCAAUUAAUAGCUGUUCAGGGAAGGAAAAUCACUCUGCUUCAGGACAAGCCCCUGAAAGUCAUUCAGCCCCAACUGGUCAGUCCUAAACACAUCUGUAGGAGCAACACUAAAUGGACUCAGUAGGGAGGGUGUGUGUGCCUGUGUCUAUCUGUCUGCUUUGUCUGUGUCUGUGUGUCUGAGUCUGCAUUGUGUAACAAUUAUAGAAGAAGAGGCCCUAAAUUUAAAAGAGUUGGGGUGAGCAUGGGAAGUGCUGGAGGUGGGGAGAAGGAACAAUAAAUGCUUGGCCAUAUAUUAAGUCAACAUUUAUUUUUCUUUAUUUUGUGUCUCUUUCUAUAUAUGUAUACAUAUAGAGAGAUACACAGUAUAUUUAUAUUCAACACUUUUUUAAGUACUUGUAAUGCAGAAGUUCCAGGCAGUGCCAUUGUGCAUGCCCUUGAAGGGGAAAGAAGGGAGGACUGACAAGUGUUGAGUGGUAUUCUCCAAGUAUCCUAAUAGCUGAUAGAUACAUCAAAUUCCCAGGAUGUUCUGUAGGACAGGUAGUGAUAUUCCCAUUUCCAGAUGAAGAAAUUAGCUUUCAGGGUGGGGUAGUGUAGUGUCUGAGCACUUCCCUAGUAUAUGUGAGGUACCACCAAAAAUGUAUAUUAAUAAUUAACAUAUAAUUAAUUAACUUAGUUAUUUAAUUAAUGCUUAAACUAAUAAUAAUAAUUGUAAAUUUU
Molecule: long non-coding RNA, 3463 nt
Filed under: Mus musculus (house mouse)
Lineage: Eukaryota; Metazoa; Chordata; Mammalia; Rodentia; Muridae
Description: predicted gene 42717
Source: RNAcentral